GGAAAUCUGACCGUGCAAUGCAAACUCUGUUUGCCAGCAACAAGCUGCUCUCAGCGUCAAAAGACUACAGCUCCAACCUAAAGAAACAUCUGGAACUUAGUGUCAGAUCAACACAGGCCUGCCCUCCAGCACUAUCAGCAGCAACCCCUCAACAGCAACAUUGGACCCAUCAGUCAUCGAGACCUCAGACGUGGUCAGAAGAGCCGCAAGUCAUAGAGGAAGGGUUGAGCUGCACUGAGCCACGUACCAAACAGAAAGCAUGAAGAUGCCAUCUUUAAAAUUAAACCUCU
Molecule: long non-coding RNA, 290 nt
Organism: Oreochromis niloticus (Nile tilapia)
Lineage: Eukaryota; Metazoa; Chordata; Actinopteri; Cichliformes; Cichlidae
Exons: 3
Source: RefSeq, a predicted model, not a curated record